GAUGAACGCUAGCGGCAGGCUUAACACAUGCAAGUCGAGGGGUAACAAGGAAAAGCCUGCUUUUCUGUUGACGACCGGCGCACGGGUGAGUAACACGUAUGCAACCUACCUUGAACAGGAGGAUAGCCCAGAGAAAUCUGGAUUAAUACUCCAUAACGAUACAAAUUCGCAUGUUUUUGUAUUUAAAACUCCGGUGGUUCAAGAUGGGCAUGCGAUCUAUUAGUUUGUUGGUAAGGUAACGGCUUACCAAGACUACGAUAGAUAGGGGGUCUGAGAGGAUGAUCCCCCACACUGGUACUGAGACACGGACCAG
Molecule: ribosomal RNA, 313 nt
Filed under: uncultured bacterium
Lineage: Bacteria
Description: bacterial SSU rRNA
Rfam family: Bacterial small subunit ribosomal RNA
Source: RNAcentral